AACCUAUAACGCGGGGUGUCAAAAUAUUUGAACCAUAUAGGAAAAUUGAGUAAAACCCUUGGAAAAGGUAGCAAAGGCGCUGUUUCUAAAACCCUCACCUGGAGAAAAGGGGCGAAAUUGGUUUGUUGCUGCUGAUGUUCGUCGGUCAAAUGAAAAGAAAGGAGGGAUGAAAUGAAGAGCUGUGCGAAAAAGAUGUUUAUGGCCUGCAAAUUGGAUAUGUGCGCAAGCACACGAAGGCGUUGUUUCUCAAACCCUCGCCUGAUCUUGUUUUCAGCUCUCGAUAAUCCCGAAAACCACCUUGCUUUAUAUGUUGAAAUACGAGAUAAUUUGAUGAUAUAGAUUGGUUCAAAAACAACCAACUCAAUAUCCAACAUCUGAAGAUUGGAUCAUCGAAAAUCAAAUUCAAGGCCUUCGUUUUGCGAGCACAUCAGAUCUCUCGUCGCACUGCAGCAAGAUGGGGAUUCAGAGCUAUUGUCAUAGAUGAUACGGGGAAUGUGCUAUUGAUUGCAGGAAGGACAUUGGGGGGGCUGCAUGUCAGUGGUGUAAGCUGAAGCUACUGCUGUUUUGUUUGGUCUAAAAUUCACCUAUAAAGCUGGCUACAGAUUGACAGAGGUUGAGAUGGACUGUCUUAAGCUGGUCUUGAUGCUGCAGAAGAAGAGGGAGGAAGCGACGAGAGUUCAGAUGAUGGUAAAUGAUAUUGCUGCAUAUGCUAUUAGUUUUAUGAUUGCAACUUCAUUUUUCCUACCAGCAAAUGUAAUAAAGUGGCAAAUACAAUGGCUAGAACCUCCCUCUGUUUUGAUGAGGAACUUGUCUGGUAUAAUGAAUACCCACCAAACAUUUUACCCCUUGUUCUGAUGGACAAGACUUUGAUUGAAUGAUAACUACCUAUUUUACCCGUCAAAAAAAAACAUUCUGCAAUUCAAUAUGUUCUUGAUUUUCAUAAUUAGUGAUUUAUUGGGCAUGUGUUGAUUGACAUAAACUUUUCGCACUAGUUUACUUGUUGCAACAGACUAGUUAUCAUCUUAUAAGUUUGUGUUUAGUUGGAUGUUGAAUGUGCUUAGUACCUUUGAGUAAAUGUUGGAGCUAAGAAUCUCGCAAGUAAAUUUUCCAUCGUGUAUCGGUAUAUGUGUUUGACUUGCAUGAUUGUUAGAGGGCUAAAAGUUCUGGUGGAUCAAUAGAUGAUUUUGAACAACGGUUGUUGCAAAAAUUUCUGGCUAUGCUUGCUUAUGAGGAACUAAAAGAUAUAUCUUCUCAGGUUUGAUACUCACCCUUUAGAACUUUUAAUUCCUUCCAUUUUUUUAUUUCUAAGUGUAGAAAAGUUGUAAACUUUUGGGCAUUAUUUUCAAUUUCUAAUUUUAAAACAGAGGAGUAAGUAGGGUACGUGAUGUAUUACUUAACCUGUUAUGGACUAUAUAAUGCGAUAUUCCAAUUUAUUUCUGUUAACAGUGUAACUUAAUUUUUUUUAAUUCCUUUUCCUUUUGUAAGUAUUAUACAUUUUAAAAAAGGGACGCUUCUUCAUCAAGCCAUCAACAAAACUCAGCUUUGUUAACACCAAAUCAUUUGAUGUACUCGUUGAGUUAUGUAUUUCUAGGAUAAUGUAGGAUGGAACUUAGUGUUGGAUGUUCUUUUUUAUUUCUUACGAUUAAGGGAAAUUAAGUGAGAACUUGA
Spinacia oleracea (spinach) is the source of this 1668-nucleotide long non-coding RNA. RefSeq lists it as uncharacterized. The record is from RefSeq and is a predicted model, not a curated record. The transcript is spliced from 5 exons. Lineage: Eukaryota; Viridiplantae; Streptophyta; Magnoliopsida; Caryophyllales; Amaranthaceae.